Peromyscus maniculatus bairdii (prairie deer mouse) is the source of this 2122-nucleotide non-coding RNA. Lineage: Eukaryota; Metazoa; Chordata; Mammalia; Rodentia; Cricetidae. The record is from RefSeq and is a predicted model, not a curated record.
UGUUCACAAUGGUGUAAAUAUCACUGUGAGCUGGAUGAAUGUAGAGAGCUGCUAGUAGCAAUGGCUUUACCAGAGGAUGUCACCAUCAGGUGACAACUAGUGUUCAGCAGGUUGACCCACCAGGCGAAUAACUCUCUGAUGGGGAGCCCCACUUGAUCCUAGACCUUCAUGUCAGAGUGUCCAGGAAGUUGAGAGUAUGUGGGGAUUUGAGGAUUUCCUGUUGGUAAUUGGUAAAGAGUUAGCAGUGUGUUGUUACCUGGGCCUCUAAGGCCUAUGGGUCAGUUGGAGUGUCUCUGACAGGUGGAGGGUGGUGGCAUUCAUGAUUUUUAUGUUUGAUGUAUUUGUUAAAAGUACAUUUAAUUAACAUAUACAUGGUAUGUGCUGAUUUUCAGCAAAGUGGGAUACAAAGAUGUUCCUCAGUACAGAUUCCUCACUUUUGAAGACACACAAAGGUAGGCUGAAAGUGACAGGUUGGAUAAAAACUAUUCACUAGUAUGGAAAACAGAGUGGCCAGGAAAUUUUGCUUACAUUAGGAAAAUCCAGUCAAUGUCUGUACAAAUGGAACAAAGAACAGAGUCCAAUGAGCAAUGAGUGAACUCAUGAAGAGCACGACCAUUGUAAACAAAUGUUACCCAAGAUGGCUAACAUAAUCAUAUGAGGCUAUCAUGAAAGGGCCUUCAGAGAAAUAAUGACUGUUUUUCUGUCCACCACUAUAAUAAUAUUUUCAUUGGUAUUAACUCACUUGAAAACUCUUCAUAAUGUACAUAUUAGUAUGCAUAGAUUAUUAUAUUCCCACAUUGGCUCAAUAAUUAUUGUUAAAAAGGUAUCCAAUGUAACUUCUGACCCACUUUUACUCAUGGACAGUUGCCAUGCUGUCCAACCUAAGUGGAAGAUCUUGGGAUAUGAGAAUCAUAAGCACAAUUUACUGAGGGUGUCUUUGUGAGCCCUCACACCUCAGACUUCACUUAGAGAGAACCCAUCAGUGAGAGACAGUGCAGCAGUGGGAUAUUGACAUUAUCAUGGAAAUUCUAUAAACUAUUUUAAUUGAAAAUGUCACUUCCUGUAACUACUCACACAGAAGUGAGAUUGCUCGGUCACAUGGUCUCAGAAAUGUAAUUCUUUGAGGGACCUCCAAACUUUACACAGCACGGGAACACCUUCCUCUUCCUGUUCACAACACUUAUUUUCAUUAUUUCCUUUAGUAAAUGGCAUUCAUAUCAUUGGAUGGAAGGUAAUUUAUCUUUUGGGAUUUAAUUUCCAUUUGUUUGUAGAUUAGAGUGUUAGCUUUAUGCAGCCUCUUCUGCUCACGUGUAUGGGCCAAGAUGAAGGAUUCCUAUCAGAGGAUGGAGGUUAGAAAGAUGGCUGCUGACAAGGCCAUCACUUUUCACCUUCAUAUCCCCUGAGCUAUGUGUUAUCUUGAUGACUCAAAUCUCAGAUAACUGAUAGAAAUGAGUUCUACUUGAGAAGAAAAGUGAAACUGAUCUCUUGGAUGAGACAAACAGGAGUUAACAGAAGUAGUAAUGAUUCAAACAGAAUAUUUAUUAAUCAAAAUGAGGAAUGUAUUUCUGAAAUAUUAACUUUUGAAUCAAAGCCUCAUUUAUACUACAGAAAUUCUCACACUGAGUUAGCUCCCAGCACUGGAAGUGAAUAUUUCAAAUAUUUCAUUUUUAAUUAUGCGUAUAUGCUUCUGUGUAUUGCAGUGCUAAUGAAGGCCAAAGAGAGUCGCAGUCCUUUGUAUUUACAGGUGGAUAUGAGGAGACCAAUCUCUGUUCACAAAGUGCUGAAUAUCGUAGGAAGCUGGAUAAAGACGGAGGAUAUCUCAUGAAUGACAGCCAGAAAGCAAGGCAACAUAAGGACCUCUUCUCAAAAAUAACCAAGGACAUGCUCAAGAAGAGAAAUCGCAAGGACAUCUCCAUAGAUUAUUGGUACAUCUGUCAUACUUUAGAGGACCAUUCUGGUUGACUUGCAAUUACUAUAUAAUGAGGCUGAUAUUGAAUGGUGAGAGAUUCUCCCUAGUGACUGGAUUAAAGGUGUGCAGCAACAUUCCCGACCAUCACAUUCAAAUUUUUAAAAAAAUAAUUUAUUAAUUAUUGUUUUGGAAAAUAUAUUAUUUCAUGCAUUA